GAUGAACGCUAGCGAUAGGCUUAACACAUGCAAGUCGAGGGGCAGCAUGGUCUUAGCUUGCUAAGACUGAUGGCGACCGGCGCACGGGUGCGUAACGCGUAUGCAACUUGCCUCACAGAGGGGGAUAACCCGUCGAAAGACGGACUAAUACCGCGUACACUUGGGAUGGGGCAUCCUGACCCAAGGAAAUGAAAUUCGCUGUGAGAUAGGCAUGCGUCCCAUUAGCUAGUUGGUGAGGUAACGGCUCACCAAGGCGACGAUGGGUAGGGGAACUGAGAGGUUGAACCCCCACACUGGUACUGAGACACGGACCAGACUCCUACGGGAGGCAGCAGUGAGGAAUAUUGGUCAAUGGGCGAGAGCCUGAACCAGCCAAGUCGCGUGAAGGAUGACUGUCUUAUGGAUUGUAAACUUCUUUUAUACGGGAAUAACAAGAGCCACGUGUGGCUCUCUGCAUGUACCGUAUGAAUAAGCAUCGGCUAACUCCGUG
Molecule: ribosomal RNA, 490 nt
Filed under: uncultured bacterium
Lineage: Bacteria
Description: partial 16S ribosomal RNA
Rfam family: Bacterial small subunit ribosomal RNA
Source: RNAcentral